UGAAUACGAGACGCUAAGGCGUUGAAGUAGUGUAUGUCAUACUUCCAAGAAAAGCUUGCACUGUCAUAGAUAAAAAACGCCUGUACCAUAACCGACACAGGUGGGUAGGUAGAGUAUACUAAGGGGCGCGAGAUAACUCUCUCUAAGGAACUCGGCAAAAUAACUCCGUAACUUCGGGAGAAGGAGUGCCUUAUUUAUAAGGCUGCAAUAACAAGAUCCAAGCAACUGUUUAUCAAAAACACAGGUCUCCGCUAAGUCGUAAGACGAUGUAUGGGGGCUGACGCCUGCCCAGUGCCAGAAGGUUAAAGAAGUUGGUUAGCAAUAGCGAAGCUGAUAACUGAAGCCCUGGUGAACGGCGGCCGUAACUAUAACGGUCCUAAGGUAGCGAAAUUCCUUGUCGGGUAAGUUCCGACCCGCACGAAAGGCGUAAUGAUUUGGAUACUGUCUCGGAGAGGGGCUCGGUGAAAUAGACUUGUCUGUGAAGAUGCGGACUACCUGCACCAGGACAGAAAGACCCUAUGAAGCUUUACUGUAACUUGAAAUUGAAAUUGGACUUUAUUCGCGCAGUAUAGGUGGGAGGCGUUGAUUGUAAUCUUGCGGGAUUAUUGGAGCCAUCAGUGAGAUACCACCCUUGUAAUGUUAGAUUUCUAACUUUGAAUCAUUAUCUGGUCAAAGAACAGUUUCAGGCGGGCAGUUUGACUGGGGCGGUCGCCUCCUAAACGGUAACGGAGGCGUACAAAGGUUUCCUCUGAACGGUUAGAAAUCGUAUCUAGAGUGUAAAGGCAUAAGGAAGCUUGACUGUGAGACCUACAAGUCGAGCAGGGACGAAAGUCGGUCUUAGUGAUCUGACGGUACUGAGUGGAAAGGCCGUCACUCAACGGAUAAAAGUUACUCUGGGAUAACAGGCUGAUCUCCCCCAAGAGUUCACAUCGACGGGGAGGUUUGGCACCUCGAUGUCGGCUCAUCGCAUCCUGGGGCGGUAGUACGUCCCAAGGGUUGGGCUGUUCGCCCAUGAAAGCGGUACGCGAGCUGGGUUCAGAACGUCGUGAGACAGUUCGGCCCAUAUCCGGUGUAGGCGUUAGAAUAUUGAGAGGAGCCUUCUUUAGUACGAGAGGACCGAGAAGGACAUACCUCUGGUGUACCAGUUAUCGUGCCAACGGUAAACGCUGGGUAGCUAUGUAUGGAGUGGAUAACCGCUGAAAGCAUCUAAGUGGGAAGCCCACCUCAAGAUAAG
This 1234-nucleotide ribosomal RNA is filed under the name metagenome. RNAcentral describes it as "bacterial LSU rRNA". It matches the Rfam family "Bacterial large subunit ribosomal RNA", at positions 1564 to 2808 of the family's 2925-position model. The record is from RNAcentral.